GGGUUGUGAGGUUAAGCGACCAAGCGUACACGGUGGAUGCCCUGGCAGUCAGAGGCGAUGAAGGACGUGCUAAUCUGCGAAAAGCGCCGGUAAGGUGAUAUGAACCGUUAUAACCGGCGAUGUCCGAAUGGGGAAACCCAGUGUGACUCGUCACACUAUCAUUAACUGAAUCCAUAGGUUAAUGAGGCGAACCGGGGGAACUGAAACAUCUAAGUACCCCGAGGAAAAGAAAUCAACCGAGAUUCCCCCAGUAGCGGCGAGCGAACGGGGAGGAGCCCAGAGCCUGAAUCAGCAUGUGUGUUAGUGGAAGCGUCUGGAAAGGCGCGCGAUACAGGGUGACAGCCCCGUACACAAAAGCGCAUAUGCUGUGAGCUCGAUGAGUAGGGCGGGACACGUGGUAUCCUGUCUGAAUAUGGGGGGACCAUCCUCCAAGGCUAAAUACUCCUGACUGACCGAUAGUGAACCAGUACCGUGAGGGAAAGGCGAAAAGAACCCCGGCGAGGGGAGUGAAACAGAACCUGAAACCGUGUACGUACAAGCAGUGGGAGCCUCUCUUUAUGGGGGGUGACUGCGUACCUUUUGUAUAAUGGGUCAGCGACUUAUAUUCUGUAGCAAGGUUAACCGCAUAGGGGAGCCGAAGGGAAACCGAGUCUUAACCGGGCGUUAAGUUGCAGGGUAUAGACCCGAAACCCGGUGAUCUAGCCAUGGGCAGGUUGAAGGUUGGGUAACACUAACUGGAGGACCGAACCGACUAAUGUUGAAAAAUUAGCGGAUGACCUGUGGCUGGGGGUGAAAGGCCAAUCAAACCGGGAGAUAGCUGGUUCUCCCCGAAAGCUAUUUAGGUAGCGCCUCGUGAAUUCAUCUCCGGGGGUAGAGCACUGUUUCGGCUAGGGGGCCAUCCCGGCUUACCAACCCGAUGCAAACUGCGAAUACCGGAGAAUGUUAUCACGGGAGACACACGGCGGGUGCUAACGUCCGUCGUGAAGAGGGAAACAACCCAGACCGCCAGCUAAGGUCCCAAAGUCAUGGUUAAGUGGGAAACGAUGUGGGAAGGCCCAGACAGCCAGGAUGUUGGCUUAGAAGCAGCCAUCAUUUAAAGAAAGCGUAAUAGCUCACUGGUCGAGUCGGCCUGCGCGGAAGAUGUAACGGGGCUAAACCAUGCACCGAAGCUGCGGCAGCGACACUUUAGUGUUGUUGGGUAGGGGAGCGUUCUGUAAGCCGUUGAAGGUGUCCUGUGAGGGGUGCUGGAGGUAUCAGAAGUGCGAAUGCUGACAUAAGUAACGAUAAAGCGGGUGAAAAGCCCGCUCGCCGGAAGACCAAGGGUUCCUGUCCAACGUUAAUCGGGGCAGGGUGAGUCGACCCCUAAGGCGAGGCCGAAAGGCGUAGUCGAUGGGAAACGGGUUAAUAUUCCCGUACUUGGUGUUACUGCGAAGGGGGGACGGAGAAGGCUAUGUUGGCCGGGCGACGGUAGUCCCGGUUUAAGCGUGUAGGUGUGUGUUCCAGGUAAAUCCGGUUCACUUUAACACUGAGGCGUGAUGACGAGGCACCACGGUGCUGAAGCAACAAAUGCCCUGCUUCCAGGAAAAGCCUCUAAGCAUCAGGUAACAUCAAAUCGUACCCCAAACCGACACAGGUGGUCAGGUAGAGAAUACCAAGGCGCUUGAGAGAACUCGGGUGAAGGAACUAGGCAAAAUGGUGCCGUAACUUCGGGAGAAGGCACGCUGACACGUAGGUGAAGUGAUUUACUCAUGGAGCUGAAGUCAGUCGAAGAUACCAGCUGGCUGCAACUGUUUAUUAAAAACACAGCACUGUGCAAACACGAAAGUGGACGUAUACGGUGUGACGCCUGCCCGGUGCCGGAAGGUUAAUUGAUGGGGUCAGCGCAAGCGAAGCUCCUGAUCGAAGCCCCGGUAAACGGCGGCCGUAACUAUAACGGUCCUAAGGUAGCGAAAUUCCUUGUCGGGUAAGUUCCGACCUGCACGAAUGGCGUAAUGAUGGCCAGGCUGUCUCCACCCGAGACUCAGUGAAAUUGAACUCGCUGUGAAGAUGCAGUGUACCCGCGGCAAGACGGAAAGACCCCGUGAACCUUUACUAUAGCUUGACACUGAACAUUGAGCCUUGAUGUGUAGGAUAGGUGGGAGGCUUUGAAGCGUGGACGCCAGUCUGCGUGGAGCCGACCUUGAAAUACCACCCUUUAAUGUUUGAUGUUCUAACGUGGACCCGUAAUCCGGGUUGCGGACAGUGUCUGGUGGGUAGUUUGACUGGGGCGGUCUCCUCCUAAAGAGUAACGGAGGAGCACGAAGGUUGGCUAAUCCUGGUCGGACAUCAGGAGGUUAGUGCAAUGGCAUAAGCCAGCUUGACUGCGAGCGUGACGGCGCGAGCAGGUGCGAAAGCAGGUCAUAGUGAUCCGGUGGUUCUGAAUGGAAGGGCCAUCGCUCAACGGAUAAAAGGUACUCCGGGGAUAACAGGCUGAUACCGCCCAAGAGUUCAUAUCGACGGCGGUGUUUGGCACCUCGAUGUCGGCUCAUCACAUCCUGGGGCUGAAGUAGGUCCCAAGGGUAUGGCUGUUCGCCAUUUAAAGUGGUACGCGAGCUGGGUUUAGAACGUCGUGAGACAGUUCGGUCCCUAUCUGCCGUGGGCGCUGGAAGACUGAGGGGGGCUGCUCCUAGUACGAGAGGACCGGAGUGGACGCAUCACUGGUGUUCGGGUUGUCAUGCCAAUGGCACUGCCCGGUAGCUAAAUGCGGAAAAGAUAAGUGCUGAAAGCAUCUAAGCACGAAACUUGCCCCGAGAUGAGUCUUCCCUGAGACUUUGAGUCUCCUGAAGGAACGUUAAAGACGAUGACGUUGAUAGGCCGGGUGUGUAAGCGCAGCGAUGCGUUGAGCUAACCGGUACUAAUGAACCGUGAGGCUUAACCUUACAACGCCGAAGCUGUU
Molecule: ribosomal RNA, 2935 nt
Filed under: Salmonella enterica subsp. diarizonae
Lineage: Bacteria; Pseudomonadati; Pseudomonadota; Gammaproteobacteria; Enterobacterales; Enterobacteriaceae
Description: bacterial LSU rRNA
Rfam family: Bacterial large subunit ribosomal RNA
Source: RNAcentral